RNAcentral lists this ribosomal RNA (349 nucleotides) under Lactococcus lactis. RNAcentral describes it as "bacterial SSU rRNA". It matches the Rfam family "Bacterial small subunit ribosomal RNA", at positions 1157 to 1505 of the family's 1533-position model. Lineage: Bacteria; Bacillati; Bacillota; Bacilli; Lactobacillales; Streptococcaceae. The record is from RNAcentral.
UUUUUACUGGAGGAAGGUGGGGAUGACGUCAAAUCAUCAUGCCCCUUAUGACCUGGGCUACACACGUGCUACAAUGGAUGGUACAACGAGUCGCGAGACAGUGAUGUUUAGCUAAUCUCUUAAAACCAUUCUCAGUUCGGAUUGUAGGCUGCAACUCGCCUACAUGAAGUCGGAAUCGCUAGUAAUCGCGGAUCAGCACGCCGCGGUGAAUACGUUCCCGGGCCUUGUACACACCGCCCGUCACACCACGGGAGUUGGGAGUACCCGAAGUAGGUUGCCUAACCGCAAGGAGGGCGCUUCCUAAGGUAAGACCGAUGACUGGGGUGAAGUCGUAACAUUGUUGCUCGCG